CCUCGAUUGGCUGCGGCGGUCAUCUGACAUCCCCUGCUCAUGUAACAUGUGAGCACCGACCGCAGGCAGGAUGAGGGAUCAGCGCAGGAACAGAGGUGGAGAUUUAAUGACUACUUUUACGUAUGAGUCGAAAAACAGAACUUCUAACACUUCGGCAGAAGAGUUGACUCCGGGCCGGAGGUUUACCUGCGUGGCGCACGUUCCGCCAUUCAUUUAUCUGGCGGUAAUUACACCGUAAUCUGGGAACUGACAGGGAUGGAUACAAAGUAUCUGGAAACAAACACCAGAUAAGAUCAUCAAACGCCUAGACGUCCCCUUUAAUCUGCCAGGUUUUGCGCCGGUUUCCUUGGCGAGUACCUCUCCAUUUCCUCCGUACAAGGACUCAAGGUGAUAAAUAAACUUCUCUCAUGUAACAGAAUCCAAUUGAAUAAAAGAAGGAAUGUGUCUCCUGACUCCGGCUCAAGUUCCCAAAAUUUAU
Hyla sarda is the source of this 478-nucleotide long non-coding RNA. RefSeq lists it as uncharacterized. The record is from RefSeq and is a predicted model, not a curated record. The transcript has 3 exons. NCBI's taxonomy places the organism in Eukaryota, Metazoa, Chordata, Amphibia, Anura, Hylidae.